AGCGUACACGGUGGAUGCCCUGGCAGUCAGAGGCGAUGAAGGACGUGCUAAUCUGCGAUAAGCGUCGGUAAGGUGAUAUGAACCGUUAUAACCGGCGAUUUCCGAAUGGGGAAACCCAGUGUGUUUCGACACACUAUCAUUAACUGAAUCCAUAGGUUAAUGAGGCGAACCGGGGGAACUGAAACAUCUAAGUACCCCGAGGAAAAGAAAUCAACCGAGAUUCCCCCAGUAGCGGCGAGCGAACGGGGAGGAGCCCAGAGCCUGAAUCAGUGUGUGUGUUAGUGGAAGCGUCUGGAAAGGCGCGCGAUACAGGGUGACAGCCCCGUACACAAAAAUGCACAUACUGUGAGCUCGAUGAGUAGGGCGGGACACGUGGUAUCCUGUCUGAAUAUGGGGGGACCAUCCUCCAAGGCUAAAUACUCCUGACUGACCGAUAGUGAACCAGUACCGUGAGGGAAAGGCGAAAAGAACCCCGGCGAGGGGAGUGAAAAAGAACCUGAAACCGUGUACGUACAAGCAGUGGGAGCCUCUUUUAUGGGGUGACUGCGUACCUUUUGUAUAAUGGGUCAGCGACUUAUAUUCUGUAGCAAGGUUAACCGAAUAGGGGAGCCGAAGGGAAACCGAGUCUUAACUGGGCGUUAAGUUGCAGGGUAUAGACCCGAAACCCGGUGAUCUAGCCAUGGGCAGGUUGAAGGUUGGGUAACACUAACUGGAGGACCGAACCGACUAAUGUUGAAAAAUUAGCGGAUGACUUGUGGCUGGGGGUGAAAGGCCAAUCAAACCGGGAGAUAGCUGGUUCUCCCCGAAAGCUAUUUAGGUAGCGCCUCGUGAAUUCAUCUCCGGGGGUAGAGCACUGUUUCGGCAAGGGGGUCAUCCCGACUUACCAACCCGAUGCAAACUGCGAAUACCGGAGAAUGUUAUCACGGGAGACACACGGCGGGUGCUAACGUCCGUCGUGAAGAGGGAAACAACCCAGACCGCCAGCUAAGGUCCCAAAGUCAUGGUUAAGUGGGAAACGAUGUGGGAAGGCCCAGACAGCCAGGAUGUUGGCUUAGAAGCAGCCAUCAUUUAAAGAAAGCGUAAUAGCUCACUGGUCGAGUCGGCCUGCGCGGAAGAUGUAACGGGGCUAAACCAUGCACCGAAGCUGCGGCAGCGACGCUUAUGCGUUGUUGGGUAGGGGAGCGUUCUGUAAGCCUGUGAAGGUGUACUGUGAGGCAUGCUGGAGGUAUCAGAAGUGCGAAUGCUGACAUAAGUAACGAUAAAGCGGGUGAAAAGCCCGCUCGCCGGAAGACCAAGGGUUCCUGUCCAACGUUAAUCGGGGCAGGGUGAGUCGACCCCUAAGGCGAGGCCGAAAGGCGUAGUCGAUGGGAAACAGGUUAAUAUUCCUGUACUUGGUGUUACUGCGAAGGGGGGACGGAGAAGGCUAUGUUGGCCGGGCGACGGUUGUCCCGGUUUAAGCGUGUAGGCUGGUUUUCCAGGCAAAUCCGGAAAAUCAAGGCUGAGGCGUGAUGACGAGGCACUACGGUGCUGAAGCAACAAAUGCCCUGCUUCCAGGAAAAGCCUCUAAGCAUCAGGUAACAUCAAAUCGUACCCCAAACCGACACAGGUGGUCAGGUAGAGAAUACCAAGGCGCUUGAGAGAACUCGGGUGAAGGAACUAGGCAAAAUGGUGCCGUAACUUCGGGAGAAGGCACGCUGAUAUGUAGGUGAAGCGACUUGCUCGUGGAGCUGAAAUCAGUCGAAGAUACCAGCUGGCUGCAACUGUUUAUUAAAAACACAGCACUGUGCAAACACGAAAGUGGACGUAUACGGUGUGACGCCUGCCCGGUGCCGGAAGGUUAAUUGAUGGGGUUAGCGGUAACGCGAAGCUCUUGAUCGAAGCCCCGGUAAACGGCGGCCGUAACUAUAACGGUCCUAAGGUAGCGAAAUUCCUUGUCGGGUAAGUUCCGACCUGCACGAAUGGCGUAAUGAUGGCCAGGCUGUCUCCACCCGAGACUCAGUGAAAUUGAACUCGCUGUGAAGAUGCAGUGUACCCGCGGCAAGACGGAAAGACCCCGUGAACCUUUACUAUAGCUUGACACUGAACAUUGAGCCUUGAUGUGUAGGAUAGGUGGGAGGCUUUGAAGUGUGGACGCCAGUCUGCAUGGAGCCGACCUUGAAAUACCACCCUUUAAUGUUUGAUGUUCUAACGUUGGCCCCUGAUCGGGGUUGCGGACAGUGUCUGGUGGGUAGUUUGACUGGGGCGGUCUCCUCCUAAAGAGUAACGGAGGAGCACGAAGGUUGGCUAAUCCUGGUCGGACAUCAGGAGGUUAGUGCAAUGGCAUAAGCCAGCUUGACUGCGAGCGUGACGGCGCGAGCAGGUGCGAAAGCAGGUCAUAGUGAUCCGGUGGUUCUGAAUGGAAGGGCCAUCGCUCAACGGAUAAAAGGUACUCCGGGGAUAACAGGCUGAUACCGCCCAAGAGUUCAUAUCGACGGCGGUGUUUGGCACCUCGAUGUCGGCUCAUCACAUCCUGGGGCUGAAGUAGGUCCCAAGGGUAUGGCUGUUCGCCAUUUAAAGUGGUACGCGAGCUGGGUUUAGAACGUCGUGAGACAGUUCGGUCCCUAUCUGCCGUGGGCGCUGGAGAACUGAGGGGGGCUGCUCCUAGUACGAGAGGACCGGAGUGGACGCAUCACUGGUGUUCGGGUUGUCAUGCCAAUGGCACUGCCCGGUAGCUAAAUGCGGAAGAGAUAAGUGCUGAAAGCAUCUAAGCACGAAACUUGCCCCGAGAUGAGUUCU
Molecule: ribosomal RNA, 2775 nt
Filed under: Escherichia coli
Lineage: Bacteria; Pseudomonadati; Pseudomonadota; Gammaproteobacteria; Enterobacterales; Enterobacteriaceae
Description: bacterial LSU rRNA
Rfam family: Bacterial large subunit ribosomal RNA
Source: RNAcentral